This is a long non-coding RNA of Telopea speciosissima, 509 nucleotides long. RefSeq lists it as uncharacterized. NCBI's taxonomy places the organism in Eukaryota, Viridiplantae, Streptophyta, Magnoliopsida, Proteales, Proteaceae. The transcript is spliced from 4 exons. The record is from RefSeq and is a predicted model, not a curated record.
UCCAGCCAAUCUGAUCCCAAUUCUUGAAACCCUGCUCUGAUCCUAUGAAGACUUAAAAGUUUUUAAAUUUGUACAUUAUAAUGCAUGUAGCUUGGCCUUCAUUUUGCACGUUUUCAUUCCAUGCUUUAUCUUGUUCCAGAUGGUGGAGUUCAGCAGUAUUGCUGUUCAACCUUUGUUACAGUUGUGUGGUCGUUUGCAACUUAUAACUGCACAGAUUGACAAGGCUGUGGAGACCAGGAGUCAAACAGUAUCAAAUGACAAGCAGUUGGAUGAAAGUGAAGAUGAAGAUGAAGAUGUCGAUGAAUUUGUCUAUAAGGAAGAAGAUGAAGAAUCUCAAAGUGGUAGUGAUGGUGAUAAUUAGAAGUAUUCAUUGUUUGAGUUCAAAAAUUGUGCUGCUCAUGCAAAGUAAAUCCCAUAUAAAGACCAGCUUCAAUCAGUUCACAGUACCCAGUGACAGAUCUUGGCAGUGUAAAUCUGACCUAUCUGAAAUGCGCGCAUCUCUUUCAGGA